This is an RNA transcript of Prunus dulcis (almond), 2517 nucleotides long. It is a transcript of the gene named probable WRKY transcription factor 57, with no coding region annotated. The transcript has 4 exons. The record is from RefSeq and is a predicted model, not a curated record. Lineage: Eukaryota; Viridiplantae; Streptophyta; Magnoliopsida; Rosales; Rosaceae.
CUCUCUCUCUCUCUCUCUCUCUUCAGUAGGAAAAUUGAAUUGCAAUUUGCCACUGUACAUUGAUGAGACUAAAGCUUUCAAGCCCCUCCCCACCCUUCAAAAAGUUCAAAAACUACGCGUCCUUUCCAACACUCACACUCACACGCACAACCAAACACCCCAAAACCCUAAUCUCGCUCUCUCUGGCAUCUCUCUUCAGAUUCAUGCUCAAUUUUCACAGCCGAUUACAAUCUCAACCGAUCCUGGUCGAUUCUCAUGGACGACGACAAAGACAACCGCGAUCCAGCUAGAACGACCGAGUUCACGACUCAGUCCACCUGGCCACUCGACCCGGACAGCGCCUACUUCUUCGCCAGCCACGACGUCAGAGACAACACACUCCUCACCGAAUUCGGCUGGAACUUCCACCCGGAUGGCUCCAGACCCGACGGCUUUUCGGAACUUGACCCGAUCGGAACCCGCGACAUGUCCGAUUUGGCGGCAACUAGUAGCCAGCUUGUUGCGGACUGCUUACGACCCGCCGACAGCAGCAGCAGCAGCACCGCGGCGUUUCGGAACUCCAACCCGGCCCCCUUCGUCGGAUCCGCUUCGACGAACCCGUCUGUUUCGUCGACCUCCAGCGAGGAUCCGCCGGAGAAAUCAACGGGGUCCGUCGGCAAACCACCGCCCGAGAUACCGUAAAAUAUUUUGUAGGAGUAAGGUUAAAAAGAAGGGGCAGAAGAGAAUCCGGCAGCCACGAUUUGCAUUUAUGACAAAAAGUGAAGUUGAUCAUCUUGAGGAUGGCUACCGCUGGCGGAAAUAUGGACAGAAAGCUGUCAAAAACAGUCCCUUUCCAAGGAGCUACUAUCGCUGCACAAAUAGCAAAUGCACAGUGAAGAAAAGGGUUGAACGUUCCUCUGAAGAUCCCACAAUUGUAAUUACGACGUACGAAGGCCAACACUGUCAUCAUACUGUUGCAUUCCCCCGGGGCGGAGUGAUUGCUCAAGAAUCUGGGUUUGCAGGCCACCAUUUGGCUCAGCUGCCUCCAGUCAGCUCACACUUCAUGUAUUAUCCUGCAAUUCAACCCAGAGAACGAGUUAGUCCUGUUAACUUGACAAGAACGACUUCGCACCAAUUAGCAUCCCCACGUGGUGAUGAUGAGGAUGAUGAUGAUCAAGCUGCAGAAGGAGGAUCAUCCCACUGCCUUGAUCCACAGACAACUGCAGUUCCUACAGAUGAAGGGCUUCUUGGGGACAUUGUACCUCCUGGGAUGCGUAAUCGAUGAGAUGGGUAAAACGGUAAUUAUACACCCAUUCACUUGAAUUAUUUAAUUGAAUCGAAUCGAAUCAAUGAAGUGAUCACCUUGCUAGGUAGGUUGCACGCAUUACUAGAAUAUGGAAAGCAAAACCCUAAGUCAUCGAAUGAUGAUGAAGCUAGAAAAAAAGAAAGAAAUGAAAUGAUGAUGAAGCUAGCCUAAGAAACAUAGCAAGUUGAUCUGGAAUAUUGAAACAUUACUUUAGGCGCAUGAACGAAACAAUUUACCUUUUAAAUUCUGGAAUCCAUGGUUGGACUGCCAGGAGAUCGCAAAAAAGAAAAGCAAAAGCGUCGGGUAUAUAUAUAUAUAUGAGUGGUUCUUAAUCUAUGUGACCCGAUUUUGACUAUAAUAUCUUUCCUUUUUGAUGUGAAAAUGUAACUGUAUCUAUAUAUGCACCACCACUAUCAACAUCAUGUACUUGUCAUUGGCUACAAACUUAUCUGCUACGCUUGGGAUCUAGUGCUAGCUAGUUCACUAUAUAUCUUAUCUUUGAUCAUUACAAUUUACAUGCCCCCGUACUUUAAUUAUCAUCCUUCCACACCACAUCUAUUAUUCAGCUUUCUCCUCUCCUCUCUCCUCUCCUCUUUCAAGUUUCUUUCAUUCAACCAAAACAAAGCCAGCAGCUCUAGCUAAAUCCAUAAUGCUUUAUUAUAUCUUUUUCUUAUUCAACCUCUGCUGUGGUAUUCUUGGAAGCCUUCUAUGUUAUUUCAGCCUCGUCCGCCAAAUUUCAUUUCUUCAAAUACUUUUUUGCAAGGAGGUGGCGCACUAACUAAGAAUAUAUAUACACACACACCGGGAACAUUUGGGAUGAGCCAAAAACUUUUUAAAAAGCAUUGAUCUUAUUCAAGCUUGGUCAACGUCGCCAUAUAUAUAUAUAUAUGCAUGCAUGCAUAUGCGGGUAGCAGCUGCAGUGCAGUAUCUUCAGCUUUAUAGUAUUAUCAGGAGCAUGCGCAUCUUCCAAAAUCCAACAGAGCCAAAUAUAUAUAUCUUUAUAUCGGAGGAGAUGACUGUGGUCUGGUCCAUGACCUCUAGCUUUGCAUGUGACUGAUCUGAGCACCAUGAGACUCUUAAUCCCUAUUGUUGUGUAUAUAAUUUAAAUUAAUUAAACAUCCCAAUUAUUCAUGCACAAUCAUGUAGGUAGUCCACCGUUUAAUUACGAUAUUUAAUUAUAAACUCAGAUCUGAUCUUAUAUAUUCAGUCUAAUUCACUUUUGGAUGAUUAAA